Molecule: ribosomal RNA, 497 nt
Filed under: uncultured bacterium
Lineage: Bacteria
Description: partial 16S ribosomal RNA
Rfam family: Bacterial small subunit ribosomal RNA
Source: RNAcentral
GAUGAACGCUGGCGGCGUGCCUAAUACAUGCAAGUCGAGCGAACGGACGAGAAGCUUGCUUCUCUGAUGGUAGCGGCGGACGGGUGAGUAACACGUGGAUAACCUACCUAUAAGACUGGGAUAACUUCGGGAAACCGGAGCUAAGACCGGAUGAUAUUUUGAACCGCAUGGUUCAAAAGUGAAAGACGGUCUUGCUGUCACUUAUAGAUGGAUCCGCGCUGCAUUAGCUAGUGGGUAAGGUAACGGCUUACCAAGGCAACGAUGCAUAGCCGACCUGAGAGCGUGAUCCGACAGCCUGGAUCUGAGAAACGGCCGCGACUCCUACGGGAGGCCGCAGUAGGGAAUCUUCCGCGAUGCGGCAGAGCCUGACGGAGCACCGUCGCGUGAGUGAUGAAGUUCUCAUGAUCGUUAAGCUCUGUUAUUAGUGAAGAACAAAUGUGUAAGUAACUGUGCACAUAUUGACGGUACCUACUCAGAAAGCCACGGCUAACUCCGUG